UACGGAGGAUGCGAGCGUUAUCCGGAUUUAUUAGGUUUAAAGGGUGUGUAGGCGGGUUAUUAAGUCAGUGGUGAAAUCUCAGAGCUUAACUCUGAAACUGCCAUUGAUACUGGUAAUCUUGAGUACAGUUGAAGUAGGCGGAAUGUGUAAUGUAGCGGUGAAAUGCUUAGAUAUUACACAGAACACCGAUUGCGAAGGCAGCUUACUAAGCUGUUACUGACGCUGAUGCACGAAAGCGUGGGGAGCGAACAGG
RNAcentral lists this ribosomal RNA (253 nucleotides) under uncultured bacterium. RNAcentral's name for it is "partial 16S ribosomal RNA". It matches the Rfam family "Bacterial small subunit ribosomal RNA", at positions 524 to 776 of the family's 1533-position model. The record is from RNAcentral.